Molecule: ribosomal RNA, 484 nt
Filed under: Globigerinoides ruber albus
Lineage: Eukaryota; Foraminifera; Rotaliida; Globigerinidae
Description: SSU rRNA
Rfam family: Eukaryotic small subunit ribosomal RNA
Source: RNAcentral
UAAUUUGACUCAACACGGGAAAUCUUACCGGGUCCGGACGUAUCGAGGAUUGACAGAUAGUUAUACAUGCCCUACAAGCAAGUAGGAGUCAGGUUUUAAACCUAAUGGCUCUUUCAUGAUUAUAUGAUAGGUGGUGCAUGGCCGUUCUUAGUUCGUGGAGUGAUCUGUCUGCUUAAUUGCGUUUCAAAUUUUUAACCGAGGACCGGGUUUUGGUUUGGCUAGUGGUCCUACGAUGACUGUGAACUGUCAUGUCUUCGGAUGUACGACUAUCGGUCUAGGAUCACAUGACUUGCCCCUGGGACUCUUUUGAACGCAACGGACGUGAUUGCAACCCCUUGUUGAGAUUAGAGAUAGUCUCGAUAUUCACUGGCCAAACUGGCUGCUUUAUGCAGUCUUGUUGAAUGGUGGAUAAACUCGGGGGACUGCUGACUAUAACCAUUUCUCAAAACAGAGGAAGGUUGCGGCAAUAACAGGUCUGUGAUGC